GGUCUCUCUAAGUUGCUAAGGGUCUCACUAAAUUGCUGAGGCUGGCUUUGAACUUGAGAUCCUCUUGUCUCAGGCUCUCAAGCUACUGAGAUUACAGGCAUGCACCAGUAUCCUCAGCUGUUUGUUUUUAUUACUGUAGCAUAAUUUAGCCUACACCAACUGAUAAAGCGUGUGUUAAAAGUCCAAAAGCAAAAAAAGCAAAGGUAUCCAAAUGAAGAAAGUUAAAAUUAUCUCUAUUCACAAGUGAUGUGAUCUUACGUGUAAAGAAUCCACACAAAACAAAACAACAGUUACCUUGCUAUUAUUUGAAUGUCCUUACCAAAACUCAUGUUGAAAUUUGAUCUCCAGGGCUUGGGAUGUGGUUUAGGGGUAGAGCACUUGCCUCACAUGGUUGAGGCACUGGGUUCGAUCCUCAGCACCACAUAAAAAUAAAUAAAUAUACUGCGUCCAUCUACAACUAAAAAUAAAUGUUUAAUAAAAAAGAAAUUCGAUCUCCAUUGUCAGGUAUUAAGAAGUGAGACCUUGGGCUGGGGAUGUGGCUCAAGCGGUAGCACGCUCGCCUGGCAUGCGUGCGGCCCAGGUUCGAUCCUCAGCACCACAUACAAACAAAGAUGUUGUGUCCGCCGAAAACUAAAAAAAAUAAAUAAAUAUUAAAAAAAAAAAAAAAGAAGAAGUGAGACCUUUAAGAGAUGAUUAGCUGAUGAAGGCUCCACCCUCAUGAAUUGGUUAACCUAUUCAUGAAUUGAUGGGUUAAUGGGUUAUUUUAAGAGUGAGUCUGUUAAAGUUUGGGCUUAUCUCUCCUUAAGAUACCCAGUGCCACCUGAGGACUCUGCAGAGCCCCCAACAGCAAGAAAGCCAUCACCAGAUGUGAUCCUUCAACAUUGAACUUCUCAGGCUCCAGAACAAUAAAAAAUAAAUUUCUCUAUAAGUUAUCUGGUAUGUGAUAUUCAAUUAUAGCAACAGAAAACAGAUUAAGACAACUAAUAAACAAUUUCAGCAAAGUUUCAGGAUACAAAAUCAGCAUUCCAUUAUCAGUUGCAUUUCCAUUCAAUAACAAUGACCAAUCUGAAAAAGAAAGUAAAAAACAAUCCCAUGUCCUACAGCAUCAAGAAGGAUAAAACACUCAGGAAUAAAUCUGACCAAGGAGGUGAAAGAUUUGUAUAACAGUUCCCCCUUAUCCAUGAAGAUGUAUUCUAAGACCACCAGUGGAUGCUUGAAACCACAGUAG
RNAcentral lists this long non-coding RNA (1228 nucleotides) under Marmota monax (woodchuck). Lineage: Eukaryota; Metazoa; Chordata; Mammalia; Rodentia; Sciuridae. The record is from RNAcentral.